Small nuclear RNA from Choloepus hoffmanni (Hoffmann's two-fingered sloth), 107 nucleotides. The record is from Ensembl. Lineage: Eukaryota; Metazoa; Chordata; Mammalia; Pilosa; Megalonychidae.
GUGCAUGCUUCGGUGGCUCAUAUACUAGAGUUGGAACAAUACAGAGAAGACUGGCAUGGCCCCUGCACAAGGAUGACAUGCAAAUUUGUGAAGCGUCCCAUUAAAAA